CUGGAACAAUUAGUAUAUGAUUGAUACUCUCACUUCACCUCCGUUCAUUGUUAAUAAUCUAGGUAUGUACAUUAUUUAUAUUUGCAGGUGGUUGAUACCUUCGCCCCAACCCAUUAUGAGUUGGAGCUACUUGGUGGUGCCCCAACAUUAGCUGUUGGGGAUGGUGGAGAGACGCAAACUCCUUUUUGUGAUCCAUACAACCUUGCCCUACUUCCCAUUUUUGUUGUUCUGAUCGAAGUUGGGCCAAGCACAGGGCAUAGUGCUGACACUAUUUCAUAUUAGGCUAAAACAAUGGGUGUGUGUACACGUUGCAUCGAAUCCAUUGAGUUUGAGCAGCUUAGUAUGAAGGUAGCCCGAGUAGAUUAUUAUGCUACUGAAGUUGG
Long non-coding RNA from Nelumbo nucifera (sacred lotus), 383 nucleotides. RefSeq lists it as uncharacterized. The record is from RefSeq and is a predicted model, not a curated record. NCBI's taxonomy places the organism in Eukaryota, Viridiplantae, Streptophyta, Magnoliopsida, Proteales, Nelumbonaceae.